Molecule: ribosomal RNA, 196 nt
Filed under: uncultured bacterium
Lineage: Bacteria
Description: partial 16S ribosomal RNA
Rfam family: Bacterial small subunit ribosomal RNA
Source: RNAcentral
UGGGAUCGCCCUUACUCCUACGGGAGGCAGCAGUGAGGAAUAUUGCACAAUGGGGGAAACCCUGAUGCAGCAACGCCGCGUGGAGGAUGACGCAUUUCGGUGUGUAAACUCCUUUUAUGAGUCAAGAAAAUGACGGUAGCUCAUGAAUAAGCACCGGCUAACUCCGUGCCAGCAGCCGCGGUAAUAAGGGCGAUCC